GCGCCCGAAGCCAUUAGGCCGAGGGCACGUCUGCUUGGGCGUCACA
Molecule: ribosomal RNA, 46 nt
Filed under: Celtis laevigata (sugar hackberry)
Lineage: Eukaryota; Viridiplantae; Streptophyta; Magnoliopsida; Rosales; Cannabaceae
Description: partial 5.8S ribosomal RNA
Source: RNAcentral